UACGUAGGGGGCAAGCGUUGUCCGGAUUUAUUGGGCGUAAAGAGCGUGUAGGCGGCCAUGUAGGUCCGGUGUGAAAACUCGAGGCUCAACUUCGAGCUGUCGGUGGAAACUUUCUGGCUAGAGUCCGGAAGAGGAGAAUGGAAUUCCUGGUGUAGCGGUGAAAUGCGCAGAUAUCAGGAAGAACACCCGUGGCGAAGGCGGUUCUCUGGGACGGUACUGACGCUGAGACGCGAAAGCGUGGGGAGCGAACAGG
This 253-nucleotide ribosomal RNA is filed under the name uncultured bacterium. RNAcentral's name for it is "partial 16S ribosomal RNA". It matches the Rfam family "Bacterial small subunit ribosomal RNA", at positions 524 to 776 of the family's 1533-position model. The record is from RNAcentral.